UCUUGUAAUUAUUCCCCAUCGAACAUGACCACUUCAUCUUGAAUAUUCAAAUACAGGGUCGCCGGAACCACCGUCUCUGGCGGUCAUUGUUCCAAACCCUUCCAGUUUAAGACCACAGAGCCACUAGGACACCCCCUUCCCCAUCCUGCAUCCCACACCUUUCAAAUCCCCCUCAGUCAUCUGAAAUAUUCUCUAAAAGGUCGUUGGAAACCCUGUCUCCGGCGACCUUGUUCCAAAGCCCUCCAAAUUUACACCCCUAAGGCACCUCAAUCUCCCCGUUCCGACCGUGUAGGUCACCUGUCGAAUCUAUCUGAAACCCAUCGAAUACCAAUUUAAAGCCUAAUUUUAUUAU
This 352-nucleotide long non-coding RNA is filed under the name Nicotiana benthamiana. RNAcentral describes it as "long non-coding RNA (NBEN_LNC014967)". The record is from RNAcentral. Lineage: Eukaryota; Viridiplantae; Streptophyta; Magnoliopsida; Solanales; Solanaceae.